This is a long non-coding RNA of Humulus lupulus (European hop), 1147 nucleotides long. RefSeq lists it as uncharacterized. The record is from RefSeq and is a predicted model, not a curated record. The transcript has 7 exons. NCBI's taxonomy places the organism in Eukaryota, Viridiplantae, Streptophyta, Magnoliopsida, Rosales, Cannabaceae.
UUAAAAAAAAAAGAUUGAAAAAAUACACAGUACCACUGUUUCACUCUCUCUCUCCCUUUUCUCCUCAUCUUCGAUUCUCUCUUCCAUUUCUCCAAUCACUCUCAUGGAUUUCUAGCAAUCAUUCUUGUGAUACUCAAGCUCUCAUCAACAUCAACAUUAAUAGCUCUCAUCGGCAUGGUUAUGGUUAUGUACUUCGGCAUCUCCAUUUAUCCAUCUUCAUUCAUUUUUACCCUCACUCUAGUUUGAAUCCGAAGACACUUACUCUUUCUUACUUUUUGGUGGCGGUGCCUUGCUUACCCUGUGGCUAGCAUCAGCUGUUGUUGGAGCAAUUGAUUCUAUCCCGGUGUUCCCCAAAUUGUUGGAGAUUGUUGGUCUUGGCUAUACAGUUUGGUUUGCAUCUCGCUAUCUGAUAUUCAAGAUAAUUGAGUAGCCUCAUGAGAAACUCUUACUUUUGUUUGCAUUUUGCAAGAGGAUAAAUCAAUUGAAUCUUCUAUGAUGGAUAAAACUUGGGUAUCCUUUAGCAGAGUUUCAAAUGAGUAUAAGGAAGGUGCAAAGUAUUUUGUAGAGACUAUAGAAAAGGAAGCUGGUUAUCCAACAAAGUUGAUUUGUCCUUGCAAAGAUUGUCGAAAUUUAAGUCACCAGUAUGUUAGUGUUGUUUAUGAGCACCUGGUUAUCAAUGGAAUUGAUCCAACAUAUACUGUUUGGUAUCAUCAUGGGGAGGAAUCAUCUAGAAGUGAAGAUAUAGCACAAAGGGACAAUGAUGAUGUAUACAAUUUGUUUAGAGCAACAAAUAUUGGCGAUGAUGAUUAUAAUGAACAAGAAGAAAGUGCUCAAGAAGAAUGUUUCGCCAAACAAUUGGAAGAUGCAGAAACUUUAUUAUACCCGGGGUGCACAAAAUACACAAAAUUAUCGGCUAUAGUUGCUUUGUACAAGCUAAAAACAACCAAUGGUUGGUCAAAUAAUAGUUUUGACAAACUUCUAGAACUUCUACAUGAUAUGUUUCCAGUAGGUAAUGUGAUCCUCAAGUCAAUGUAUUCUGUUAAAAAAUACAGAAUAUUAACUAUUUGUCAGUUAUGUUAGAAAACUUAAAAAAUUAGGCAUACCCUUUAGAAAACCACUCAUUAAACUGUUCGUGACUAUCAAAUAA